CCUACGGGCGGCAGCAGUGGGGAAUAUUGGACAAUGGGGGGAACCCUGAUCCAGCCAUGCCGCGUGUGUGAAGAAGGCCCUCGGGUUGUAAAGCACUUUCAGUGAGGAAGAACGCCUGGUGGUUAAUACCCAUCAGGAAAGACAUCACUCACAGAAGAAGCACCGGCAACUCCGUGCCAGCAGCCGCGGUAAUACGGAGGGUGCGAGCGUUAAUCGGAAUUACUGGGCGUAAAGCGCGCGUAGGUGGCUUGAUAAGCCGGUUGUGAAAGCCCCGGGCUCAACCUGGGAACUGCAUCCGGAACUGUCAAGCUAGAGUGCAGGAGAGGCAGGUAGAAUUCGCGGUGUAGCGGUGAAAUGCGUAGAGAUCGGGAGGAAUACCAGUGGCGAAGGCGGCCUUCUGGACUGAAACUGACACUGAGGUGUGAAAGCGUGGGUAGCGAACAGGAUUAGAUACCCUGGUAGUC
This 464-nucleotide ribosomal RNA is filed under the name Vreelandella stevensii. RNAcentral's name for it is "partial 16S ribosomal RNA". It matches the Rfam family "Bacterial small subunit ribosomal RNA", at positions 338 to 795 of the family's 1533-position model. Lineage: Bacteria; Pseudomonadati; Pseudomonadota; Gammaproteobacteria; Oceanospirillales; Halomonadaceae. The record is from RNAcentral.